AGGUCAUUUCAAAGAGGGCACAUGGGGCUGUGAAACGCUGAACUCUUAACUCUAUGACCAAAGAUUUAAGUUGCCCAUUGGAUGCCAUAGUCAUUCAAUACUGCCAAGUUUUUCUGAGGGGCUAUAGGA
Rhinolophus ferrumequinum (greater horseshoe bat) is the source of this 129-nucleotide small nucleolar RNA. NCBI's taxonomy places the organism in Eukaryota, Metazoa, Chordata, Mammalia, Chiroptera, Rhinolophidae. The record is from Ensembl.